AUACGUAGGGGGCGAGCGUUGUCCGGAAUUACUGGGCGUAAAGGGUACGCAGGCGGCCAUGUAAGUCAGAUGUGAAAGACUAGGGCUUAACCUUAGCAAGCAUUUGAAACUGUGUGGCUUGAGUUAAGGAGAGGAAAGUGGAAUUCCUGGUGUAGCGGUGAAAUGCGUAGAUAUCAGGAGGAAUACCAGUGGCGAAGGCGACUUUCUGGCCUUAAACUGACGCUGAGGUACGAAAGCGUGGGGAGCAAACAGGAUUAGAUACCCUGGUAGUCCACGCUGUAAACGAUGAGUGCUAGGUGUCGGGUGUCAAAGCUCGGUGCCGCAGUUAACACAUUAAGCACUCCGCCUGGGGAGUACGUUCGCAAGAAUGAA
This 372-nucleotide ribosomal RNA is filed under the name uncultured bacterium. RNAcentral's name for it is "bacterial SSU rRNA". It matches the Rfam family "Bacterial small subunit ribosomal RNA", at positions 523 to 898 of the family's 1533-position model. The record is from RNAcentral.